UGCGUAGGUGGCAUGGCAAGUUGGAUGUGAAAUGUUGAGGCUCAACCUCAAAGGUGCAUCCAAAACUGCUGAGCUAGAGUGCAGGAGAGGAAAGCGGAAUUCCGAGUGUAGCGGUGAAAUGCGUAGAGAUUCGGAAGAACACCAGUAGCGAAGGCGGCUUUCUGGACUGUAACUGACACUGAGGCACGAAAGCGUGGGAGCGAACA
Molecule: ribosomal RNA, 206 nt
Filed under: uncultured bacterium
Lineage: Bacteria
Description: partial 16S ribosomal RNA
Rfam family: Bacterial small subunit ribosomal RNA
Source: RNAcentral